GUCGAACGGAGAUUAUACGCAGAGGCGAUUUCGGUCAAAUCAUGUAAAAUCUUAGUGGCGGACGGGUGAGUAACGCGUGGGUAACCUGCCUUACACUGGGGGAUAACACUUAGAAAUAGGUGCUAAUACCGCAUAAGCGCACGAAGCCGCAUGGAUUUGUGUGAAAAACUCCGGUGGUGUAAGAUGGACCCGCGUCUGAUUAGCUUGUUGGCGGGGUAACGGCCCACCAAGGCGACGAUCAGUAGCCGGCCUGAGAGGGUGGACGGCCACAUUGGGACUGAGACACGGCCCAAACUCCUACGGGAGGCAGCAGUGGGGGAUAUUGGACAAUGGGGGGAACCCUGAUCCAGCGACGCCGCGUGAGUGAAGAAGUAUUUCGGUAUGUAAAGCUCUGUCAGCAGGGAAGAAAGAAAUGACGGUACCUGACCAAGAAGCCCCGGCUAACUACGUGCCAGCAGCCGCGGUAAUACGUAGGGGGCAAGCGUUAUCCGGAAUUACUGGGUGUAAAGGGAGCGUAGACGGUUAAGUAAGUCUGGAGUGAAAGGCCGGGGCCCAACCCCGGGACUGCUCUGGAAACUAUUCAACUUGAGUGCGGGAGAGGUAAGCGGAAUUCCUAGUGUAGCGGUGAAAUGCGUAGAUAU
Molecule: ribosomal RNA, 641 nt
Filed under: uncultured bacterium
Lineage: Bacteria
Description: bacterial SSU rRNA
Rfam family: Bacterial small subunit ribosomal RNA
Source: RNAcentral